This 1304-nucleotide long non-coding RNA is filed under the name Anser brachyrhynchus (Pink-footed goose). RNAcentral's name for it is "lncRNA (ENSABRG00000004724.1)". Lineage: Eukaryota; Metazoa; Chordata; Aves; Anseriformes; Anatidae. The record is from RNAcentral.
GGAUAGGAUAUCUGCCCAGAUCAUUUCUAGUCAGACAGCUGGGAGUAGUUUUAACUAUGCACAUCUGUGUGUGUUUAGUCAUCUUUUUUAAUGUAGCUAAUAAUCUCGUUUAUAAGACUUUUUGGACACACAUUAAAUGCUCUUCUGUCUCCGAUGUGCACUACUAAAUGAAGACUGAUGUCUUCUCUAGACUUGGAACAAAACUGAUGGAAAUUUGGUGGGUUCUCAGAAGUGUGGGCCUCUAUGUAAUUAGGUAAAAAAUUCAGUUUCCAGUUAGAGCUGAAUUUCUUCUGAGCCUUUGUGUGCAUGUCCUUGGAGAUGGAUUUAGAGAGGUUUCAGCUUAAAAAGGCGGUGUUGAGGUUACCACCUUCUGGCAAUGCCUUUCUGGGAUGCUUGUAGCUGCAGUUAAGUAUAGCAGGCUCUGACCUGCUGUCAUACUGGAGUGUAUUCUGCUCACCCCCACAUCACAUAUGCCUUGGGGCACAUUCGUAAGAGAGAGAAUCCUUUUCCUCUAUGGUAUGUUCAGAUAAAAUAGCCCCUGGUGGAGGAAUCAUGUCUGGAAACCCAAGGGACUGAAUUUUAUACCCUUACUGUGACUUCACUGGUUUACCUAGACUGCUUCCUGGAUGACCACCAUUCUUAAAUCCAUUCAAAAUACCACAGAUAAGGCCUCAGUUAAAGUAUCAGCUUUGUUUGGUACUUGGCAAUUUGGAAAGGACGUGGCCAGCUGCAGCAACCUGGGUUGUGGCUGGUGCAUCCAGGGAUGUGACAGGGGAAAGGGUUCAGCUACAGAGAGAGCUCUUUCAAGUUUUUAAAGGCAGGAUUGCUGGAGGCCAUUCACUUUCUGGCAUCAGUGCUGCACAUCACUGCAUGACCUUACGUACUGUAUGGAGCCGUACAGCAUGCCAACACUUCACCAGCUCCCACUGAAGAAUAGCCCCCAAACACCACUCAAGAAUAAUGGAAAUAUAUGAAUGCACAAGAGCAAGCCCAGGGAGUAAGGUUCAUGCUUUCAUGUUCAGGAAAUGGUUCUGUGGUUUCCAAUGUUUAAUUUUAUAAACCUAGAUGUAGUGCCAUUGAUUAUGUAAGAAUUAAUCAUGCACAUAUAAUUAAAAGCUUACUGGACUUAAUAUUUGUGUGUGUUUCUAUAUUUGUGUACACAUUUUUAUAUCAGACAACAUUUGUGUCCUCAUCUUGCUAAACAAACAUCUGAAAUCAUUGCUCUUGUGGAUAUUUAACUGGAAAUCUUGGAGUCUAAUCAAGAAAGCCUUAGCAAUGGUUUAAACCUAAUCUUCAAAUCUGAA